RNAcentral lists this long non-coding RNA (585 nucleotides) under Elaeis guineensis (African oil palm). RNAcentral describes it as "long non-coding RNA (EGUI_LNC049048)". Lineage: Eukaryota; Viridiplantae; Streptophyta; Magnoliopsida; Arecales; Arecaceae. The record is from RNAcentral.
CCGACCUUCCAUCUGAAGUCGGACAAGCUGACAAUCAAUUUCUUUGAACUUACGUUCAUAGUCGUCAAGCCGCCGUUAUUGAAAAACUCUAGGGGUAGAACCUCUUGAAGAGCUUGAAGGAGAAGCAGAAGGUGUCCGCGGUCAUUUUUCCUUCCUGAUACUGUGUAGAUGGGAACGAGAGGGAGAAUGCCGUGAAUGAUGGGUGGCACAAUGGGAGUGCCUAGAAUGCGGUUGCCCGUCUCAGUGGGAGUGUCGAGACUGUCGCCGCUUCGAAGAGGAGGAGGGUGAGUGCCGUGGAGGAUGGCGGCUGUGCUUGGAUGAGACUGACUGAGUCAUCGAUUGCUCCACCGAUGGCUGCUGCUGCUGGAUUUGUUACUGCUGAAGGCUUUGAACCGCCUCUGUCAAAACCUUCAUUUGCUGUAUUAGUGCAGCAAUCUAUUUGUCUGUGGUGAUCAUAGGAUGCGAAGAACUGGGCUCUGCCACUGGAGGUGGGGAAGGAACAUCUUUCCGACAGGAAGACUGCCUCACUGAUCCAGUUGAGUGUUGAGCUCUAAUUUUUGAUAUGGUUGAUUGUAGUCUUCCCCU